GAUGAACGCUGGCGGCGUGCCUAAUACAUGCAAGUAGAACGCUGAAGGAGGAGCUUGCUCUUCUGGAUGAGUUGCGAACGGGUGAGUAACGCGUAGGUAACCUGCCUGGUAGCGGGGGAUAACUAUUGGAAACGAUAGCUAAUACCGCAUGACAACAGUUAUUGCAUGAUAACUGUUUAAAAGGGGCAACUGCUCCACUACCAGAUGGACCUGCGUUGUAUUAGCUAGUUGGUGAGGUAACGGCUCACCAAGGCGACGAUACAUAGCCGACCUGAGAGGGUGAUCGGCCACACUGGGACUGAGACACGGCCCAGACUCCUACGGGAGGCAGCAGUAGGGAAUCUUCGGCAAUGGACGGAAGUCUGACCGAGCAACGCCGCGUGAGUGAAGAAGGUUUUCGGAUCGUAAAGCUCUGUUGUAAGAGAAGAACGAGUGUGAGAGUGGAAAGUUCACACUGUGACGUUAUCUUACCAGAAAGGGACGGCUAACUACGUG
RNAcentral lists this ribosomal RNA (495 nucleotides) under uncultured bacterium. RNAcentral describes it as "partial 16S ribosomal RNA". It matches the Rfam family "Bacterial small subunit ribosomal RNA", at positions 28 to 507 of the family's 1533-position model. The record is from RNAcentral.